CUACAAGAACCUGCUAACGAGAGACUUCUGCAUUGUCAAUUCAAUAAAAACGGACCUACAUAACAUUAGUUAGUUCACUGCUGGCUACAAGUUUGCAA
Molecule: long non-coding RNA, 98 nt
Organism: Etheostoma cragini (Arkansas darter)
Lineage: Eukaryota; Metazoa; Chordata; Actinopteri; Perciformes; Percidae
Exons: 3
Source: RefSeq, a predicted model, not a curated record